AGAUAUCCGUGCAGUGAAACGUGUGAAAAAUGAAGUGCGCGGUCAUAAAUUGCUUCAACUCUAAGCACCGAAAUCCCAAUGGGGUGACCUUCCACAGAUUUCCAAGUAACUUGCAAGUUCGGGAAAUUCGGGCUACACGUCUAGAGCUCUCUAUGUCCCUUGUAGGGAAGGAUAAGUAUGUGUGCAGCAUGCACUUCAGGCCAGAAGAUAUCAAACAGAAAAAUACUUCUAAAACGCAGCGCUUCAAAUAUGUGCAUUUUUUUGGAUCCAACUGCUCUUCCGAUUGACUUAAGGCAGACACAAGCAGAUUCUGUUGUUCUUCUUGAUGACAAUAC
Long non-coding RNA from Phlebotomus papatasi, 335 nucleotides. RefSeq lists it as uncharacterized. The transcript has 3 exons. NCBI's taxonomy places the organism in Eukaryota, Metazoa, Arthropoda, Insecta, Diptera, Psychodidae. The record is from RefSeq and is a predicted model, not a curated record.